CGCUCCUUGAUUUUAAUUAAUAAGGAGUCGGACCUGCCCAGUGAUAAGUAUUUAACGGCCGCGGUACUCUGACCGUGCAAAGGUAGCAUAAUCAUUUGCCCUAUAAUUGAGGGCUAGUAUGAAUGGUUUGACAAGAACAAUACUGUCUCUUUCAAAANUUUCUAGAAUUUAUUCUUUAGGUGAAGAAACCUAAAUAAAAUUAAAAGACAAGAAGACCCUAUCGAGCUUAAACUCUUUUUAUAAAAUAAAAAAAAUUAAUAAUAUUUUUUGUUAUAAAAAAUUUUGGUUGGGGCGACUAAGGAACAAAAAAAGCUUCUUUGUUUAAUAAAGACAAAUAUGUAUUGAUCCAUAAAANUCUUGAUUAAAAGAAUUAGUUACCGUAGGGAUAACAGCAUAAUCUUUUUUAAGAGUUCUUAUCGAAAAAAAGGUUUGUGACCUCGAUGUUGGACUAAAAUUUCCUAAUAGAUGCAGACGUCUUUAAGGG
Molecule: ribosomal RNA, 484 nt
Filed under: Melarhaphe neritoides
Lineage: Eukaryota; Metazoa; Mollusca; Gastropoda; Littorinimorpha; Littorinidae
Description: partial 16S ribosomal RNA
Rfam family: Bacterial large subunit ribosomal RNA
Source: RNAcentral